AUUGAACGCUGGCGGCAGGCCUAACACAUGCAAGUCGAACGGAGCGGCGGUCGGGUGAGUAAUGCCAAGGAAUGUGAAUCGUAGUGAGGGAUAACGUUCGCAACCGGGCGCUAAUACUGCAUACUAUCACAUUCGCAUAGGUCUGAUUAGUUAGUUGGUGGGGUAAAGGCCUACCAAGGCGACGAUCCGUAACUGGUAUGAGAGGAUGAUCAGUCACACUGGAACUGAGACACGGGCCAGACUCCUACGGGAGGCAGCAGUGGGGAAUAUUGGACAAUGGGCGAAAGCCUGAUCCAGCCAUGCCGCGUGUGUGAAGAAGGUCUUCGGAUUGUAAAGCACUUUAAGUUGGGAGGCGUUACCAACAGAAUAAGCACCGGCUAACUUCGUGCCAGCAGCCGCGGUAAUUC
This 407-nucleotide ribosomal RNA is filed under the name uncultured bacterium. RNAcentral describes it as "partial 16S ribosomal RNA". It matches the Rfam family "Bacterial small subunit ribosomal RNA", at positions 30 to 526 of the family's 1533-position model. The record is from RNAcentral.